GUUCCUUGGAAAAGGACAGCUGAGAGGGUGAAACUCCCGUCCGCCUGGUAGAAUGAGUCUUUGUCAACGAGUCGAGUUGUUUGGGAUUGCAGCUCUAAUUUGGUGGUAAAUUCCAUCUAAAGCUAAAUAUUGGUGGGAGACCGAUAGCGUACAAGUACCGUGAGGGAAAGAUGCAAAGAACUUUGAAAAGAGAGUUAAAGAGUACCUGAAAUUGCUGAAACGGAAGCGAAGGAAACCAGUGUUUGUUGGUUCAUAUUUCCCUGGCCACUUGUGGUUUGGGCGCUGUGAGCUUGCGUGGGUUUGGGUUGGUUGAUCCCUUUGGAAGAGCGCAGUCAGAGUUGAUGUCU
RNAcentral lists this ribosomal RNA (347 nucleotides) under Pseudo-nitzschia fraudulenta. RNAcentral describes it as "LSU rRNA". It matches the Rfam family "Eukaryotic large subunit ribosomal RNA", at positions 185 to 544 of the family's 3401-position model. The record is from RNAcentral. Lineage: Eukaryota; Bacillariophyta; Bacillariophyceae; Bacillariales; Bacillariaceae.